CAAUAGCGUAUAUUUAAGUUGUUGCAGUUAAAAAGCUCGUAGUCGGAUUUUGGCUGAGAACGAUCGGUCCGCCGUUAGGUGUGCACUGAUUGGUCUCAGCUUCCUGGUGAGGAGGUGUGCUUCACGGCCACUUAGUCACAGUGGUUACUUUGAAAAAAUUAGAGUGUUCAAAGCGGGCUUACGCUUGAAUAUAUUAGCAUGGAAUAACACCAUAGGACUCCUGUCCUAUUUCGUUGGUCUCGGGACGGGAGUAAUGAUUAAGAGGAACAGUUGGGGGCAUUCGUAUUUCAUUGUCAGAGGUGAAAUUCUUGGAUUUAUGAAAGACGAACUUCUGCGAAAGCAUUUGCCAAGGAUGUUUUCAUUGA
RNAcentral lists this ribosomal RNA (365 nucleotides) under uncultured eukaryote. Its description in RNAcentral is "partial 18S ribosomal RNA". It matches the Rfam family "Eukaryotic small subunit ribosomal RNA", at positions 592 to 976 of the family's 1831-position model. The record is from RNAcentral.